RNAcentral lists this ribosomal RNA (460 nucleotides) under uncultured bacterium. RNAcentral describes it as "partial 16S ribosomal RNA". It matches the Rfam family "Bacterial small subunit ribosomal RNA", at positions 338 to 795 of the family's 1533-position model. The record is from RNAcentral.
CCUACGGGAGUCAGCAGUGAGGCAUAUUGGUCAAUGGACGAAAGUCUGAACCAGCCAUGCCGCGUGCAGGAAGACGGCUCUAUGAGUUGUAAACUGCUUUUGUACAAGGGUAAACCUGAAUACGUGUAUUCAGCUGAAAGUACUGUACGAAUAAGGAUCGGCUAACUCCGUGCCAGCAGCCGCGGUAAUACGGAGGAUCCCAGCGUUAUCCGGAUUUAUUGGGUUUAAAGGGUGCGUAGGCGGAUUGAUAAGUUAGAGGUGAAAUGUCCGGGCUCAACUCGGGAACUGCCUCUAAUACUGUUGAUCGAGAGAGUAGAUGCGGUAGGCGGAAUGUAUGGUGUAGCGGUGAAAUGCUUAGAGAUCAUACAGAACACCGAUUGCGAAGGCAGCUUACCAAGCUAUAUCUGACGUUGAGGCACGAAAGCGUGGGGAGCAAACAGGAUUAGAUACCCCUGUAGUC